This 253-nucleotide ribosomal RNA is filed under the name uncultured bacterium. Its description in RNAcentral is "partial 16S ribosomal RNA". It matches the Rfam family "Bacterial small subunit ribosomal RNA", at positions 524 to 776 of the family's 1533-position model. The record is from RNAcentral.
GACGGAGGGUGCAAGCGUUAUCCGGAAUUAUUGGGCGUAAAGCGUCCGUAGGCGGUUUCAAAAGUCUGUUGUUAAAGCCCACAGCUCAACUGUGGAUCGGCAAUGGAAACUGUGAGACUAGAGAGUGGUAGGGGUAGAGGGAAUUCCUAGUGUAGCGGUGAAAUGCGUAGAUAUUAGGAAGAAUACCAGUGACGAAGGCGGCUUUCUGGCCUAUUACUGACGCUGAGGCGCGAAAGCGUGGGGAGCAAACAGG